Molecule: RNA transcript, 5597 nt
Organism: Mytilus californianus (California mussel)
Lineage: Eukaryota; Metazoa; Mollusca; Bivalvia; Mytilida; Mytilidae
Exons: 22
Source: RefSeq, a predicted model, not a curated record
AUCGCUCAAUGUUACUGACAUGGUCCAGACGUGAAAAUGACUUUUAAAUUACUUGUAUUAUGUUGUGUUAUUCUGUUUUUUGGAACUGUGCAACCAUUGUCCGGAAAUCUUUGUACACGAGUUGUGAGGGCCUUCCAAUAUCAUAGAUAUUGUAGAUGUCGGGUGUGGGGUUGGUGCACUCACUGGAAAGGCGUAAGACGUCCAUACUACUACCCAGAGAACUACUGUUGUCCAGGAUGGAAGCAUGAUGGAGACCAAAACUGCAAUAUCCCUAUUUGUUCCCCAAGCUGUCGAAACGGUGGGACGUGUAUCAGGCCUAAUGUGUGUGACUGUCCUGCAGGAUAUACUGGAGACAUAUGUUCUGGAAUUGCAGUUUGUUCACAUUUGCAUCCCUGUUACCCUGGGCGAUGCUAUGGAAACAAUCUGUGCAUGUGCUCAGACGGUUUCGUUGGAAGUACCUGUAAAACUCUACAGAGUGAUGAAUUCAAACCUUUGAUAGAGAAAGGCAAUGCGACGUUUGCUAAGUACAGUUAUACAACAAAGAAAUUUGAUUACGAAUUUAUGACAGACGCAACGAAUACAUCAGAGGUCGACCUAGUUUGGACGAAUUCGAAUGAGUUUAAUAUAAUGAACUUCGACAUUGAUGCCUCCAUAGAUGUCAAUUAUACAUUUCGUCAUAUUCCACCUGUACCAGCAUACAUCAGUUACAUGAAGUUUGGAAUAGUAGAUGCAAACGUGUUAGUUGUUCACCUUAAACUUGGACAAAGUGGCGAAUACGAAGUAAACAGGGAAACUUUUACUUGUACCCAGCCUUCCAAUGACAAUCCAAUAGCUAAUACAGUUCUAAAAUGUAGGAUGAAUAAUGGUACCAAUGUAUUCCAGGUGGAUUCAGGAGACAGAUAUUUUCUGACUUACACAGUAACCACAGGCGGAUAUCGACAACUUAUUAAUACAAACAAUAACCAAAUGUAUAGUAAAGAGAUAUAUGAUGGAGUUAGUUCUCAGCAGAAUAUGGAGUAUCGGUUUGACUACGAUAAGCCAGUUCACUGUAAAGAAUUCAACACUUGCAUUUCUGAUGAAGUUCCACUUCAGCUAGAAGAGGAUAUUACUAGGAGACCAAUUAAGCCAAAAUGGUCUGGAUGGUCCGAUAGUAAUUUGUCUGGGGUAAAACGGUACGCAUUUGAAGUAUGGAAGAUGGAAUAUAGUCUUGAUUAUUCAGUUUUAAGAGAACCAGAUAUUUUGCCAAAUUAUAAUCCAGUACCAGAGUUUAUAACCGAGGUACUAGCAAGCAACAAUACAUUCCCAGAAUAUGAACCCAAGGGACCAGGGGUCUAUUCAACAAUACUUGAAGUUGCUGACAAAGCAAAUAAUUCUAGAUAUGUGAGAAGAAUAGCAAUAUUCGACAAAACAUCAAAUAUAUCCACUAAGUCAAGUCAUCGGUUGUUCGUUUCAUCGGCAUCAAAUCAGUCCAACUACAGCUGGCAGACGACCCCUAACAAUCAACAGACGACCACUUUGAUGGUACAAUGGGAAAACCAUUUUAUCAACGAAGUACAUGAAAAUGGUCAUUUCUUGGCAAGAGUCCAAGACUAUACCCGAAGACUCAUUGACGAUGUCAAGAGAGCGGACUAUAAAGAAAUUGAAUCUCAAUUUGAUGAUAAUGAAGGUAACAGAUCUAAAGUUGAAAUAUCAAAUAUUAAUUCUAUUGUUGAAUUUGAAAUACGCCACGGUACACCUAAUACGGAACCACCAACAAAUGGUUGGCAAAACGUUCUUCCACUGAAAGAAAACCAAAGUAUUGUGCUGAGUGGCGUGAAUAUUCGAGAUGGGGAUUCAUACCAAGUUUGGGUUCGUGCAAUUGAUGCUAUGGGGAAUAAAAAGAUUGAUUCAACAGUAGUACAUUUCGAUCACAGCCAACCGCUAGUGUACCCUCCUACGUUUAAAAAAAAUGUCGACGAUGGACAGUUUCCCUUUUCAAGCAGAGUAACUGUCGAUGCCAAAGAUAUACACAGUGGAAUCAGUAAAGUUUCGUUCAAGUUCGUGGUUGAAAGCACAGGGGAAGUGAAGAACCAGAAAGACUUCAUUGUCGAAUCACAGACACAACAAAUUUGCGAUCAGUUUUCUGAAUGUUCCUGCAUUCCUAAGGGGGAAUGUUUCAUGCAUGAAAUAGUCCUGGAUAUUGAUAACUGCUGGCUCAAAGUUCCAAUUGAUAGAGUUGAAGAUGAAGUUCAUAUUCUUCAGAUUUCUGUAUACAACUUAGCAAUGUUAUCUAAUAUGACUACAUACAAUCUAGGAGAAGUGGACAGCUUCAAUGGAAUACAAGAAUAUUAUAGUCCAUCAAACAUUACUAUAUUGAAAACAUCAGACACAAGUUUGAGUAUAAGCUGGAUUCAGGCACCUACCUGUUAUGAACGUGCUGGUAUUCUCAUCCGGUUAUUCCGACCUGAUAAUUCCACAAGGGAUUUCAAAGUACAUAAAGAUGCGACAACGUUUGACCUAACAGGACUGUCACCUACAACCCAUUAUUGGUUUAAAUUGUUUACUAAAUAUGGCAAUGACACAAAAUUUGUUAUGAGCGGAUCUCCUGCAAUACUCAAAUUCCAAACAGCUGAGGCAUCUGUAGGAUUCCCACCAGGCGGUGUUGCAGGAUUAUCUGCCGGGUUUAUAUUGCUUUUGAUUGCUGUUGUGGUGGUUCUGUUAUUUCUUGGACGUACUGGACGUUUACAGCCCGCUAAAGCAAGAAUGACACAAGGAAUAAGAACUAUUCGUAAUACAAUCCGUGUUCGCUCACAUACCAAUGCUAGAUAUAAUAUUCGGGCGUAUAGCUCUAAGUUUGAUGAUGACAUAUAUUUCUAUGGACAACUGGAAUCUUCUGGCGCUACGAAUCUAAAGAUUUCACGUAAAGACAUAUCCAUGGAAUCCGAGUUAGCACAAGGAAGAUUUGCAACAAUUUAUUUAGCCAAAUACUAUGGCAACCAUCGUGACGCCCAAACCGUUGUUGCUAAAGUUUUAAAAGAUGACCAAAAAGAAGAGAAUGUUAUGAAGAUGAAGGCUAAAAUCAACUUUUACAUAGAAAAAGUCGGACAUCACAAAAACGUUGUAGAUUUUAUAGGAUAUGUAGAAGACGAUUUUAGAGGAGCAUUUAUGGUACUGGAAUAUUGUGAAAGUGGGGUAUUGAAGGAGUUCCUUAUCUCAAAGAAGUCCGAAGUUACUGUUGAUUUGGAAGAAAGGCCGUUUAGAAUGGUCUUUGGAAUCUGUCUUGGAAUGGACUAUUUAUCAUCUAAAAAGGUUGUCCACAGAAGAUUAGCAGCCAGAAAUGUUCUUUUGGAUCAUUUGUUUGAACCGAAGAUAACUGGAUUUGGACCAGAACCCGAAGCGGAACAAGAGGGGGAAGAACGUAUACUACUGAAAUGGAUGGCACCAGAAUGUAUGAAAACAACAAAGCAUGCAAAUGAAUUGAGUGACGUGUUCUCUUUCGGUAUUGUUAUGAAGUAAAUAUUUUCAUUGGGCGACACACCUUACCCUGGAAUACAAAGCAGGGAAGUUGCAACUAGACUUUAACAAGGAUACAAAAUGAAGAAACCAGAGUACUGUGAUGAUGCCUUCUAUAAGAUCAUGUUGAAAUGCUGGCAUUAUCAUCCAAACAAACGUUCAGGUUUUGCGGAGGUAAAGGAUCAGCUGUCGAACAUGUUCCAGGAAGGAUCAAGUGAAGAAUAUUACUACCGGACGAAUGAUCUGUAAAUCAGGCACUACUACCGGACGAAUGAUCAAUAAUUCAGACAAAACUGAACGUAUAUAAAAGAAAAGAAUACGAAUUGUAUCUAUAAACGUUCGUUUAUUUCUGUCUUGACAAUAUUCAGAUUUGAUAUAUAUAUAAAAAAAUAAAUAAUUUAUGAUGUACACUGAUAAAUAAUUUUAUUCUAUUUGAAUUUAGUAUUAUAUAGUGUAGGUUUGUUUGCCUUUUCUUUCUCUGUGUAUAUAUAAGCAGUAAUUUUUUUAUUUUUUUUAUUUUGUGUGGGGGCGAUAAAAGUCCCAUGUAUAAAAAAUUAAUUCUGUAUUUAUAGUUUGUAAAUCUAUUCUUUGUUUUAAAGUUUGUAAAGUGAACACUUGAAUAAGGUAAAUGAGGAUAGUAAUUUUUCAAGUAUUGCCCUUGUUAAAGAUUUCUGUUUGGGGUCUGAGAUGAACUUUGGAAAGGACAAUUUCACCUUCCACUCCAUAACACUCUGUUAUCCAUAGAACUACUUGAAAAAUUGGUAUAUCGCAUUCUCCAGGUAUUCUAUUUGUACUGCUCUUCGAAUUUGUCCUUAUUAAGUGGUUGAUUGUGUAAGGAUAUUGAACUUGUCCAUAAUGAUUGAUAACCUCUCUGUCAUUUUAUUAGACAAUGCCUUCGAAAAGUUUUGACAAUGACCCAUAAAUUUUUAUUCUUUGAAAAUAUACACAUCAAGUACAUUUCUGACAAAAUAUUGAAUUAUCAUACAAAACUUGAUGUUAUUUCAUUUACUUGUUUUCAUUUUAAUAUUCAUUGACUUUUUUUGUACCAAACAAUUAAUAUGAAAAUCAAGGGAAAUCAUAUAACCACCAAAAACAUAAAUUUUAAAAUAUUUACAUCUCAAAAGCAGUCACGCAAAUUUAUCUUUUACUAUGAUUUAGAUGCAUUGGCAUUUCUCAACUAUUUAUAUAGUUAAGAAUUUAGCGUCUUAAUAUGAUUUUCCCUAACUUCAAACUAGUUGCAUUCACUAUAAAUUUCGAAAGUCGGAAAGUUAAUUGUUUUGUUUUGUCAAUUUUUUUUUUUCAUUCUUCAUAUUGAGUUACCCUUUAGGUCGAAAUAACUGGCCGGCAUUAGCUUAUAUUGUUUAUAGAUUUUUUAUCUCUCUCAUUCUAAUUUUUAAUGAAUUGUCAAUAUCUGUGGAUCUGCUUAUCCUUCCGCAGCACCUCAGAUUCUCCCGCCCCCAUGUUUUAGUGAGGUUCUUGUUGCUCAGACUUUGUGUUUUGGGUUCUGUUGUUUGUUUGUCUUUUUCUUUUUAGCCAUGGCGCUAUCAGUUUGUUUUCAACUUGUGAAUUUAACAGUCCCUUUGUAUCCUUCGCCCCUCUUUCAAUAACUAUAUUUGAAUAAAAUUGCGUAAAAGUAUAUGAUGGUGAAAUCUGUAUUUUUUUUUUCAAAUAUUAUAUUAUACGUUUGAAAUCGUUUAACCUAUUGAAAUCGUUUGAAAUUGUUAAGAUGUCCAAAGUAUUGUAUUUGUAAUGCUGAGUGAACCAGCUUAUGUCAUGGAUUGAACUUGAAAUAUCCUUCAAGUACACGUUCAACUUCAAAUUAUUAUAUUAUACAUUUGAAAUCGUUAAACCAUUUCACCUUAACUGCUAACAUUUAUACACAUAAUAUCUCUUGUCUACUGUAUCAUUAUAGCUAUAACAAAAUUCAGGACAAAUGUGCAAUCAAAAUUCAUCUAUUGUUUUUGUAUGAAGCUUUAAAAGAGCAUCAAUUAUAUAAUGAUAAAAAUAAUCUGAUAUAUGUUAAUUAUACUAUUUUCCAUCCAUGUAUUGUCUGUUUCAGCUUUAUUAACACAUAUAUUCAAUAAAAAAAAGUAACAGUUAACUUA